GGAGUUGUGGCUCAGUGGUAGAGCACUUGCCUAGAAUGUGUGAGGCAAUGGGUUUGAUCCUCAACACCA
Molecule: transfer RNA, 69 nt
Filed under: Ictidomys tridecemlineatus (thirteen-lined ground squirrel)
Lineage: Eukaryota; Metazoa; Chordata; Mammalia; Rodentia; Sciuridae
Description: Spermophilus tridecemlineatus (thirteen-lined ground squirrel) tRNA
Rfam family: tRNA
About the family: Transfer RNA (tRNA) molecules are approximately 80 nucleotides in length. Their secondary structure includes four short double-helical elements and three loops (D, anti-codon, and T loops). Further hydrogen bonds mediate the characteristic L-shaped molecular structure. tRNAs have two regions of fundamental functional importance: the anti-codon, which is responsible for specific mRNA codon recognition, and the 3' end, to which the tRNAs corresponding amino acid is attached (by aminoacyl-tRNA synthetases). tRNAs cope with the degeneracy of the genetic code in two manners: having more than one tRNA (with a specific anti-codon) for a particular amino acid; and 'wobble' base-pairing, i.e. permitting non-standard base-pairing at the 3rd anti-codon position.
Source: Rfam by way of RNAcentral